AGCCGUGGAUCUAGAUUGGAGACCAAAUCAUCCAUGACCUCGAGCGGUGGCUGCGCCGGAUCUACUAGGAACGCCGAGGCGACGCAGCCGGAGCUCCAACGAUCGCCUCCGCUCUGCUCACGGAGUUCUCAGCCGAUGAGGCCGCACCACAUAUGGCAGCUAACUCUCCUAGGUCAGGCGCUAAUAUGACGAAUACUCUUUCCCUCAGCGGCAUCUAAGACCACAACAGCAAAGGCAAAAGCUGAUGCAAGCAUCUCAACAGCGGUUGAUGCCAUCAGCUGCUGGGCGAUGCUAGCGCAGAGCGCACUUCCUCAACUAGAAGAUUUACAGGGGGCAAGUUCAACAAAAAUUACAGGUCCCAGGUCAACAACAAAUGCAAUACAUCCAAGCAUUGUCGCAACAAUUUCAUAACUUUAACAGAUAGAUGGAAACUGGACGUAUGCAACCAGGCAAGGCUCAGAGUCAAUUGAAUCAAGGAACUCAGCUACGAAGUCAUCUAGGCCACUUUAUUGGAGCUUCAAAUAGUGCGAUGUUCAAUGCUCCAAUCUCAACUAAAGACUGAGAGGCAAGAAAAAGAUAGAAUUAGGCAUGAAAUGAAUGAUAGAAAAGUUGUGUGCACUCAUGUUGUUUCAUGGAAAUGCAUGCACGAUUUGGUUUGAAUUCAAUUAAAUGUUGUUUUUUAUUGAUUGAUGAUGAACUAAAAAUGUAAUAAACCCAUCAUGUUAGCUGUCACAUCAUCAUGCUUUAUGACAAAAAUAUUCUUCA
RNA transcript from Zea mays, 765 nucleotides. RefSeq lists it as uncharacterized. The transcript has 3 exons. The record is from RefSeq and is marked validated. NCBI's taxonomy places the organism in Eukaryota, Viridiplantae, Streptophyta, Magnoliopsida, Poales, Poaceae.